Molecule: long non-coding RNA, 1718 nt
Organism: Cyprinus carpio carpio
Lineage: Eukaryota; Metazoa; Chordata; Actinopteri; Cypriniformes; Cyprinidae
Source: Ensembl
GAAUCUUGAAAAUAAUAUAGUACUAUAAUAAUAAAAAAAACAUGCUUCAAAUUAUUUUUAUUAUGCAAUUUUUUUUUUUUUUUCUUUUGGGAUAAAAAAAUGACUGCCAGUUUUUUUUUUUAAUUAUAUUAGCCUACUGAGAAUUGGGUGGUUUAAACGUGUAUAAUAAUAAUAAUAAUCAUUAUAAUAAUAAAUCUUUAUUAUGCUUUUUUUUUUAAAUGACUGACAGUUUUUGUGAGAUUUCCCCAUUUAGUAAUUAAAAAAACUCAUGUUUUUUUAAAGUUGUAUUAUAACGAGUGUAUAUCAGGAUGUUUCCAUUUGAAUAUUUACACUGCAAGUUUUGGCUGUAAACUAUGCACUAUAUAUUCCAAGUUACAUAGCGGAUUAAAUAUAAAGGCUUUGUAUGUGGAAAAGCUUGGCAUGAUGCAGAGGAGAGGCUGCGUUUCUGGGUGUCAGUCCUUUACUCUCCGAUCUCUUUGGAAGAUCCAUAUCUGAUGCACCUAUAAUGCCAGUCCCUUUGGGAGAUGUGAUAUUUCUUAUUAUAUACAGUAUUCCACUUCUAUUUUGGCUGUGUUUAGUGCAUAUAAAUAGAGCUCUGUGUUAUAUAGACACCAUGUACAGUUCUGAUCUGAACUCUAUUGUUUUAAACUCGUCUCUAUGUACAGUAGGUGCACUUUCCUGGAACCAGGCUGCAAAAAUAUACACGCACAUGUCUUUUUCAGCAUAUUUAUUCUAUUUAUUCUGUGACUUAUUCAUGUGAUGCUAUUUAUUUAUUAUUUGUUGCAUAUGUGUUUUGUUAUUUAUUCAUUUUGAAACUUACGUUGGAAACACAUUUUUGAUCGUUUCCAAUGAUAAGCUUCUGCGUUCUUUAAAGUCAACAUGAAAUCAGAAUCGAUUCGAUUUACUUUCUUAAAAGAUGUUUCUGGUCUCAUUUUGAGUGAUUCAUCAAUGCACAUUAUUCCAAAGAUCUUCAAUUUUUUUGUACCUGAAACAACUUCAGAAAUACAUUUUAUCUCUCAAGCAUCUGCCGUACAGAGAAACGUCAUCAUCUAAUUCAUUCCUGAUGCAUUUUCUAUCUUGCUUUUUUCUAUAUUUUUUCUUUAAAAGCUGUUGCACUCUGAAAUGCAUCACAAUUUGAAAAAAAAAAGAGUUUCAUGUUGACCUUAAAUGCAGAACUGAGAUGAAUUGUUAUGAAAUAAUUUUUUCGAGCAGAUGACUGAUUGUUGUUUUAUGAGUUUGCAUUUUGCAAAUAUUUAUUAUGAUUUAUUGUACUAUUUAUUCUCUCAUUCGCUCCUUCAAAUGGAGACUGAACUGGUCUUUAUCAGUGUUUUCUUCUUCUUUCUCAAUCUUCCUGUGAGUUCUGGAAAGAGCUAAUAAAGGAACCAGAUUGCAGUGAACUUUAACCUUGUGAUGCAGGAAUCGACCUCAGUCUUCCUUUCUCAGUGUUAUAUGAUUUUACAAACAGCUGUUGAGUUAAUCAUAUGAGUUGAUACGGCUCUAACUUCCCAACUGUAUAAAGUCAGUAGAUCUAGUGACCAGUCAUAAUUAAACACAUAAUAAAAGUAUCUACAAAUGGAUCAUCUUCAUGUGCUGUUCUUGAUUUUGAGCUUCUGUUUGUUUCUUGUCAGGGUUAAUAUUGAAAACUACUAUUAAAACAUUUUUGUUGAAAUAAAUAAAAGCUAAAAUAAAAUAAAACAAGGUAAAAAACAUAAAAUAAA